Molecule: ribosomal RNA, 497 nt
Filed under: uncultured bacterium
Lineage: Bacteria
Description: partial 16S ribosomal RNA
Rfam family: Bacterial small subunit ribosomal RNA
Source: RNAcentral
GAUGAACGCUGGCGGCGUGCCUAAUACAUGCCAGUCGAGCGAACAGACGAGGAGCUUGCUCCUCUGACGUUAGCGGCGGACGGGUGAGUAACACGUGGAUAACCUACCUAUAAGACUGGGAUAACUUCGGGAAACCGGAGAUAAUACCGGAUAAUAUAUUGAACCGCAUGGUUCAAUAGUGAAAGACGGUUUUGCUGUUACUUAUAGAUGGAUCCGCGCCGCAUUAGCUAGUUGGUAAGGUAACGGCUUACCAAGGCAACGAUGCGUAGCCGACCUGAGAGGGUGAUCGGCCACACGGGAACUGAGACACGGUCCAGACUCCUACGGGAGGCAGCAGUAGGGAAUCUUCCGCAAUGGGCGAAAGCCUGACGGAGCAACGCCGCGUGAGUGAUGAAGGUCUUCGGAUCGUAAAACUCUGUUAUUAGGGAAGAACAAAUGUGUAAGUAACUAUGCACGUCUUGACGGUACCUAAUCAGAAAGCCACGGCUAACUACGUG